GACGAACGCUGGCGGCGUGCUUAACACAUGCAAGUCGAACGGAAAGGCCCUGCUUUUGUGGGGUGCUCGAGUGGCGAACGGGUGAGUAACACGUGAGUAACCUGCCCUUGACUUUGGGAUAACUUCAGGAAACUGGGGCUAAUACCGGAUAGGAGCUCCUGCUGCAUGGUGGGGGUUGGAAAGUUUCGGCGGUUGGGGAUGGACUCGCGGCUUAUCAGCUUGUUGGUGGGGUAGUGGCUUACCAAGGCUUUGACGGGUAGCCGGCCUGAGAGGGUGACCGGCCACAUUGGGACUGAGAUACGGCCCCGCCUCCUCCGGGCGGCCGCCGUGGUGCCUCUUGCCCCCUGGGCGGCCGCCUGCUGCCGCCCCGCCGCGUGCGGGAUGACGGCCUUCGGGUUGUACCCCGCUUUCGCCUGUGCCGCCGCGUGCGUGCCGGUCCUGGCUCCCGCCGCCCCGGCUCCCUCCGUG
Molecule: ribosomal RNA, 468 nt
Filed under: uncultured bacterium
Lineage: Bacteria
Description: partial 16S ribosomal RNA
Rfam family: Bacterial small subunit ribosomal RNA
Source: RNAcentral